GGCCCAGUAGUUCAGUUGGUUAGAAUGCCAGCCUGUCACGCUGGAGGUCGACGGUUCGAGCCCGUUCUGGGUCGCCA
RNAcentral lists this transfer RNA (77 nucleotides) under Lutispora thermophila DSM 19022. RNAcentral's name for it is "tRNA_Asp_GTC". It matches the Rfam family "tRNA". From Rfam's summary of the family: Transfer RNA (tRNA) molecules are approximately 80 nucleotides in length. The record is from RNAcentral. Lineage: Bacteria; Bacillati; Bacillota; Clostridia; Lutisporales; Lutisporaceae. RNAcentral also lists the same sequence under 15 other names.